This 510-nucleotide ribosomal RNA is filed under the name uncultured bacterium. Its description in RNAcentral is "partial 16S ribosomal RNA". It matches the Rfam family "Bacterial small subunit ribosomal RNA", at positions 28 to 507 of the family's 1533-position model. The record is from RNAcentral.
GACGAACGCUGGCGGCGUGCUUAACACAUGCAAGUCGAACGAAGAGCGAUGGAAGCUUGCUUCUAUCAAUCUUAGUGGCGAACGGGUGAGUAACGCGUAAUCAACCUGCCCUUCAGAGGGGGACAACAGUUGGAAACGACUGCUAAUACCGCAUACGAUCUAAUCUCGGCAUCGAGGAUAGAUGAAAGGUGGCCUCUACAUGUAAGCUAUCACUGAAGGAGGGGAUUGCGUCUGAUUAGCUAGUUGGAGGGGUAACGGCCCACCAAGGCGAUGAUCAGUAGCCGGUCUGAGAGGAUGAACGGCCACAUUGGGACUGAGACACGGCUCAGACUCCUACGGGAGGCAGCAGUGGGGAAUCUUCCGCAAUGGACGAAAGUCUGACGGAGCAACGCCGCGUGAGUGAUGACGGCCUUCGGGUUGUAAAGCUCUGUUAAUCGGGACGAAAGGCCUUCUUGCGAAUAGUGAGAAGGAUUGACGGCACCGGAAUAGAAAGCCACGGCUAACUACGUG